This 951-nucleotide long non-coding RNA is filed under the name Elaeis guineensis (African oil palm). RNAcentral describes it as "long non-coding RNA (EGUI_LNC050094)". Lineage: Eukaryota; Viridiplantae; Streptophyta; Magnoliopsida; Arecales; Arecaceae. The record is from RNAcentral.
CUUCUAUGCAGUGGAAGAAAAUCUGUUUCGGGUAUCCAAGCCUUGCUUCGCAAAAAUUGCUGAUGCAACUCCUCUACUUCGCUUGCACGUCUCACUCCUUAGAAGAGAGGAGAUGAAGGCCUAGGUGUCGCACCAGAGAGUAGCAGAGCAGAGGAGGGAAGGCGUGGAGGAGGAAGAGUGGCGUGGAGAUCAAAUCCGAUGCCCAGAAUUUUUUCUUUGUGAUGUCGCACCGUUCCAUGCCCUUUCUCAUCAUCUUUUUUAUUAAGAUUUAUCGCACAAAGCAGAUAAGCCAUGCCCCAUCUGGAUGAGAACUCAAAUUUGAAUCUAAUUCAAAUUGAUUGUUGUCCACUAAGUGACCCAAGGAGGAGGGGAGGCGCCAAACUUGCGCCUCCUCAAAUUAUCGCACACACAAGGGAGGGGGUGGGAUUUCUAAGCACCCCUCUUUCUUAUUAGUUAGUCAACAUGAGAGAGAAGCCCAGAGAUUUUGGGGCUAGGUCACCAAAUGAAAUUUGGUUCCAAUCUGGGUUCAAUUCGAAUUCGAAUCCGAUUUAAACCUAAUUCGAAUCAUAUUUAAAAGGCUGUUGACCCUAAUCUAAUUAGGGUUGAAUUCUAAGUCUAACUUCGAUAAUUAAACCUAAUUGAUCUUAAAUAAAAUCAAACUUAAUUAAAUUAAAUUUGAUUUAAAUUAAUUAGAUCUCAAAUCCAAUCUAUUUACAGAUUAGACCCUGAUUAGAAGUUCAGUUCCUAAUCAAAUUAGGACUCGAACUCAAUCCCCUCAUAUUCCUUGGAUCACAAAUAAAUUUAACUUCAUCCCUAAAAUUAAUCCUGCAGCUAAUGUCCAGUUCUAGUUGGACAUAGCUAGAAUUUAAUCCCAUAUGAUUCAGAACUUAAUUCUUAGUUAAGUAAAUCUAUUUAUUCAAUCAAGUCACCUACUUCCAAAUUGAACAUACA